AAUGGCAACCAUACUGGCACUGAUACCCAUUAGAUCUAAUUAGAGAACAUUGCAGCUAAAUGUGUUGGGUGAAAGUAGUAUUAAAUUGGGUGACCAUUUGAAAAGUCCUCAUGUUGCACGAU
This 122-nucleotide ribosomal RNA is filed under the name Cucumis melo (muskmelon). RNAcentral also lists the same sequence under 1 other name. The record is from RNAcentral. Lineage: Eukaryota; Viridiplantae; Streptophyta; Magnoliopsida; Cucurbitales; Cucurbitaceae.